This 155-nucleotide non-coding RNA is filed under the name bovine gut metagenome. RNAcentral describes it as "Lysine riboswitch". It matches the Rfam family "Lysine riboswitch aptamer". Rfam says of the family: Riboswitches are metabolite binding domains within certain messenger RNAs that serve as precision sensors for their corresponding targets. Allosteric rearrangement of mRNA structure is mediated by ligand binding, and this results in modulation of gene expression. The record is from RNAcentral.
UAAGAGGCGCAAUUUUCAUCAGUAACGGUCGUUUUCGGGAUUAUCGUCCGUGAAAGGGGAACUUGCCGAAGUGUCGUAAUAAACCCGUAAAAAGCGGCGCUGGGGCGGCAGAGAAUAUCUGCCGAACUGUCACAAUUAUGUGGAGCGCUGUCAGA